UACGAAGGGAGCUAGCGUUGUUCGGAAUUACUGGGCGUAAAGGGCGCGUAGGCGGCUUUGUAAGUCAGAUGUGAAAGCCCCGGGCUUAACCUGGGAACUGCAUUUGAUACUGCAAGGCUAGAGGAUGAGAGAGGAAAGUGGAAUUACGAGUGUAGAGGUGAAAUUCGUAGAUAUUCGUAAGAACACCAGUGGCGAAGGCGGCUUUCUGGCUCAUUACUGACGCUAAGGCGCGAAAGCGUGGGGAGCAAACAGG
RNAcentral lists this ribosomal RNA (253 nucleotides) under uncultured bacterium. RNAcentral describes it as "partial 16S ribosomal RNA". It matches the Rfam family "Bacterial small subunit ribosomal RNA", at positions 524 to 776 of the family's 1533-position model. The record is from RNAcentral.